AGAGUUUGAUCCUGGCUCAGAAUGAACGCUGGCGGCAUGGAUUAGGCAUGCAAGUCGAACGUGAAGCCGUAGCUUGCUAUGGUGGAAAGUGGCGCAAGGGUGAGUAACACGUGAGUAAUCUGCCCCCGACUCUGGAAUAGCCCCGGGAAACUGGGAUUAAUGCCGGAUGCGGUUCCCGUCUUCAUGGAUGGAGAACCAAAGGUUGACUCCGGUCGGGGAUGAGCUCGCGACCCAUUAGCUAGUUGGCGGGGUAACGGCCCACCAAGGCUCUGACGGGUAGGUGGUCUGAGAGGAUGGUCACCCACACUGGGACUGAGACACUGCCCAGACUCCUACGGGAGGCUGCAGUCGAGAAUCUUCCGCAAUGGGCGCAAGCCUGACGGAGCAAUGCCGCGUGAGGGAUGAAGGCUUCCGGGUUGUAAACCUCUGUCACUCGGGACGAAGAUCUGACGGUACCGAGAGAGGAAGCCACGGCUAACUACGUGCCAGCAGCCGCGGUAAUACGUAGGUGGCGAGCGUUAUUCGGAUUUACUGGGCGUAAAGGGUCCGUAGGGGGUUUGCCAAGUCUGAUGUGAAAUUCCGGGGCUCAACCCCGGACGUGCAUUGGAAACUGGCGAACUAGAGUUCGCGAGAGGAAAGCGGAAUUCCAGGUGUAGCGGUGGAAUGCGUAGAUAUCUGGAAGAACACCAGCGGCGAAGGCGGCUUUCUGGCGCGAUACUGACCCUGAUGGACGAAAGCGUGGGUAGCAAACAGGAUUAGAUACCCUGGUAGUCCACGCCGUAAACGUUGUGCACUAGAUGUGGGAGGUCCUUUGGUCCCUUCCGUGUCCAAGCUAACGCGAUAAGUGCACCGCCUGGGGACUACGGCCGCAAGGCUAAAACUCAAAGGAAUUGACGGGGGCCCGCACAAGCGGUGGAGCAUGUGGCUUAAUUCGAGGCAACGCGAAGAACCUUACCUGGGUUUGACAUAUGCCGGACCGGUCGUGAAAGCGACCUUCUCUUCGGAGCCGGUAUACAGGUGCUGCAUGGCUGUCGUCAGCUCGUGCCGUGAGGUGUUCGGUUAAGUCCGGCAACGAGCGCAACCCAUGUCACUAGUUGCCAGCAGGUAAAGCUGGGGACUCUAGUGAGACUGCCCGUGUCAAGCGGGAGGAAGGCGUGGAUGACGUCAAGUCCGUAUGGCCCUUACAUCCAGGGCUGCACACGUGCUACAAUGGUCGGUACAGUGGGAAGCAAUACCGCGAGGUGGAGCAAAUCCUCAAAACCGGCCUCAGUUCGGAUCGGAGUCUGCAACUCGACUCCGUGAAGUCGGAAUCGCUAGUAAAGGCGUAUCAGCAACGGCGCCUUGAAUACGUUCCCGGGCCUUGUACACACCGCCCGUCACAUCAUGGAAGCUGGCUGCACCCGAAGUCCACGGCCCCAACUCUUCGGAGAGGGAGUGGCCGAAGGUGUGUCCAGUGACUGGGAUGAAGUCGAACAAGGUA
Molecule: ribosomal RNA, 1480 nt
Filed under: metagenome
Description: bacterial SSU rRNA
Rfam family: Bacterial small subunit ribosomal RNA
Source: RNAcentral